AGUUUCUAAGGAUCAUGUCUGCGAGCCAGGAUUCCCGAGUAACUGGAAUGAGAUUGUUGACAGCUUUGAUGACAUGAACCUCUCGGAGUCCCUUCUCCGUGGUAUCUACGCCUAUGGUUUUGAGAAGCCCUCUGCCAUCCAGCAGCGAGCCAUUCUACCUUGUAUCAAGGGUUAUGAUGUGAUUGCUCAAGCCCAAUCUGGGACUGGGAAAACGGCCACAUUUGCCAUAUCGAUUCUGCAGCAGAUUGAAUUAGAUCUAAAAGCCACCCAGGCCUUGGUCCUAGCACCCACUCGAGAAUUGGCUCAGCAGGUAAGAGUGGCUUCUAUUCCCUCCUUCAGGGCUGAUUUAGGGAUGAUGAGUAUAAUCCAAGGACCAGAGAAGUCUUCUCUGAUCACCACCUUGGGAGGAAGACAUGGGUGCCCUAACACUCUCGAGACCUGCUGGGUUAAUUAAAAGCUAUUUCUUACCCAAACGUAACCAUUGCUUCCUCCACCCAUUUCCUGAGUCAAAUGGGAAGGCUGUUGGGUGAAGCCUGGCUGGCUGGGCAAGUUUGACUGUG
This 560-nucleotide small RNA is filed under the name Pan troglodytes (chimpanzee). RNAcentral describes it as "retained intron". Lineage: Eukaryota; Metazoa; Chordata; Mammalia; Primates; Hominidae. The record is from RNAcentral.